UUUUGGUUUUCCGGGGGGGGGCCCCCUGGACCCCAAAAGGGUAGGGGGGCGAGCCCCAAAAUUUCGCCUCCUUUUUGGGGGGGAUUUUUUGGGCGGGGGAAAAGCGGGGGGAAAGGGGGUGAAAAAUACCCCCCGGAGAGGACAUAUCCUUUUGUUGGUGGGGGGGGCAAUAACCCAUUUGGGGAAAACCUGUUUGUCUAUUAAUCCCCCCUUAUAUAUAUUUUGAGGGAGAGCAAAAAGGAGGCGGCCCUUUCGGGCCCUUCUCUCCGGGAUAAAAGAUUCGCCCCAAAGUGUGGAUAUAAAGUUAUGAAGGGGGGGGCCACCCGCUCUCUCCGUGGGGGCCCCCCCUCCCCUUGGGGGGUGUUGAGGAGGGGCCCCCUCCGCCACCUUGGGAACUUGAGCCCCCGGUCACAGAUUUCUUGGGGGGGCGCCAGCGGGGGGGGAAUUUUUCCCCCGAGGGGGGGAAACCCUUGGAACGCCCCCAUGCCGGGGGUGUGAAAAGAAGCCCUUCGUGGGUUAAAAACCCUUUUUCCCCCAGGGGGGGAGGGCGGUUUUUGUUAAAAGGCGGUUUUUGUUUGACUUUUAGCUGCAAAAAAAAGCCCCGGGAAAAUUCCGUGCCCAGCAGCCGCGGUAAUACGGAAGGGUGCGAGCGUUAAUCGGAAUUACUGGGCGUAAAGCGCAUGCAGGCGGCUUGUUAAGCCAGAUGUGAAAGCCCGGGGCUCAACCUCGGAAUCGCAUUUGGAACUGGCAGGCUAGAGUCUUGUAGAGGGGGGUAGAAUUUCAGGUGUAGCGGUGAAAUGCGUAGAGAUCUGAAGGAAUACCGGUGGCGAAGGCGGCCCCCUGGACAAAGACUGACGCUCAGAUGCGAAAGCGUGGGGAGCAAACAGGAUUAGAUACCCUGGUAGUCCACGCCGUAAACGAUGUCUACUUGGAGGUUGGUGUCUUGAACACUGGCUUUCGGAGCUAACGCGUUAAGUAGACCGCCUGGGGAGUACGGUCGCAAGAUUAAAACUCAAAUGAAUUGACGGGGGCCCGCACAAGCGGUGGAGCAUGUGGUUUAAUUCGAUGCAACGCGAAGAACCUUACCUACUCUUGACAUCCAGAGAAUCUAGCAGAGAUGCUUGAGUGCCUUCGGGAACUGUGAGACAGGUGCUGCAUGGCUGUCGUCAGCUCGUGUUGUGAAAUGUUGGGUUAAGUCCCGCAACGAGCGCAACCCUUAUCCUUGUUUGCCAGCACUUCGGGUGGGAACUCCAGGGAGACUGCCGGUGAUAAACCGGAGGAAGGUGGGGACGACGUCAAGUCAUCAUGGCCCUUACGAGUAGGGCUACACACGUGCUACAAUGGCAUAUACAGAGGGCAGCAAGACCGCGAGGUGGAGCGAAUCCCACAAAGUAUGUCGUAGUCCGGAUUGGAGUCUGCAACUCGACUCCAUGAAGUCGGAAUCGCUAGUAAUCGUGGAUCAGAAUGCCACGGUGAAUACGUUCCCGGGCCUUGUACACACCGCCCGUCACACCAUGGGAGUGGGCUGCACCAGAAGUAGAUAGCUUAACCUUCGGGAGGGCGUUUACCACGGUGUGUUCAUGACUGGGGGAAGUCGAACAAGUAGCCUACGUCCCC
RNAcentral lists this ribosomal RNA (1617 nucleotides) under uncultured bacterium. RNAcentral's name for it is "partial 16S rRNA". The stretch from base 385 to 1617 matches the Rfam family "Bacterial small subunit ribosomal RNA". The record is from RNAcentral.